AAACCAACAGGGAUUGCCUUAGUAGCGGCGAGUGAAGCGGCAAAAGCUCAAAUUUGAAAUCUGGCACCUUCGGUGUCCGAGUUGUAAUUUGAAGAUUGUAACCUUGGGGUUGGCUCUUGUCUAUGUUUCUUGGAACAGGACGUCACAGAGGGUGAGAAUCCCGUGCGAUGAGAUGCCCAAUCCUAUGUAAGGUGCUUUCCAAGAGUCGAGUUGUUUGGGAAUGCAGCUCUAAGUGGGUGGUAAAUUCCAUCUAAAGCUAAAUAUUGGCGAGAGACCGAUAGCGAACAAGUACAGUGAUGGAAAGAUGAAAAGAACUUUGAAAAGAGAGUGAAAAAGUACGUGAAAUUGUUGAAAGGGAAGGGUUUGAGAUCAGACUCGAUAUUUUGUGAGCCUUGCCUUCGUGGCGGGGUGACCCGCAGCUUAUCGGGCCAGCAUCGGUUUGGGCGGUAGGAUAAUGGCGUAGGAAUGUGACUUUGCUUCGGUGAAGUGUUAUAGCCUGCGUUGAUGCUGCCUGCCUAGACCGAGGACUGCGAUUUUAUCAAGGAUGCUGGCAUAAUGAUCCCAAACCGC
RNAcentral lists this ribosomal RNA (570 nucleotides) under Meyerozyma guilliermondii. RNAcentral describes it as "LSU rRNA". It matches the Rfam family "Eukaryotic large subunit ribosomal RNA", at positions 62 to 648 of the family's 3401-position model. Lineage: Eukaryota; Fungi; Ascomycota; Pichiomycetes; Serinales; Debaryomycetaceae. The record is from RNAcentral.